CCAGAACAUAUAUUUUACUCAAGUUGCAUAAUGGAGAUAUCAGAUAUGCAUGAGUCCAGAAAAGGACAGGGGCGAAAAUGACUUAGCACUUGUCAUCCUCCUUUUGUGUGCAAGGGAAUUGGACACAACACAAGUAGAGAUACAAUACAGGUGCAUCAAAACAAGACAGACAAAGACAAGUGCCAGAGUGCCUUCCGCCCCCGGUUCAGGCCGGUUCAUCAGCCAGCUGCUCAUGACGCGUAUGUCUGUGCAUGCGUGUGGCGUGAGCAUCGGGCGACGACGACGGACCACGCACCGUGCAGCUAGCCAUGGCCAUCGGGUUUGGCGCCACGGACUGAUCUCGGUGGUUGCAGCAGCAGCAGCGCCCGAUCAGCUUCGAUUCAGAGUAAGGCACUCGGUGGUUGUUUGGUCGGCAUGUCGAACGCCGAUCAGCGCACGGCCAGCGUAACGCUUGCAGGUGUGACGCGUGCGGCAGCGGAAACGCGGACCAGCCGGCGCCGGCGCCGGCGACGACGAACGAACGGCCGGCCGGCCGCAUGGUUGCUUAUCUGUAACAAAUUGUUGCACGGCACCACCGAAACUGAAAACUGUGACAGAGCAACUGGGCAGCUACUCGUGCACUACAUUUGACGGCAACGGCAACGGCAAGAAGAUGCUACACUAGCGAGCAGUACACUCCAAGCAUGUAGCGUCAUCUAGUGCAAGUGGGCCAGCCGUCGCCGGAUAAUAUCGGACGAUGCGGCUACCAGAGCAGGGCAGGCUACGGAGAUAUUUUUUACAUGAACUUAUCCACAGCGACGCCGGAACAGUACAGAGCGCUACUCUAUACCUUGCUUCGUUGCGUGUGCUCGCUCCUACCACUAGGUCUCUGCUGCUUGCGAUGGCCAUGGGCCCAUGGCCACGCCCAUGCUCCCCUCCGUCGUCCCUCACGCAAUGACCACGGCGACGGUGUCGCUGUCCGGGCGGCGGGCGCUCUGCUGGGCCACUCCCCUGCCGCCUGUGGCACUGGCACUGGCAGGCUUGGCGUCCAUGACGGGGCGGCGGCACGUCGGGCACGAGCCGCGGGACAGCAGCCAGGCGUCGACGCACGGGACGUGGAACGCGUGGCCGCACCGCGGCAGCACGCGCACCUUCUCGCCGUCCGCGAACUCGCCGAGGCAGAUGGCGCACACGUCCCCGCUCCCGGCCCCCUCCUCCUCGUCGUCUUUCGCAUCCCCGCCGACGUAAACCUCCACGGGGAUGCUCCGCAGCGCGCGCUUCUUGAUCCCGCCCCGGACGCCCGCGCAGGACGACGCGGCGACGCUCGGCGACGCCGCCACCUCGCCGCCCCCGGCCGCGGCCCGGCCUCCGCACCAGAGCGCGAACCUGGCCAGCGAGUUGAGCGCGAUGGCGAGCAGCAGCGCCAGGAACAGCGCCGCCAGCAGGAUCACCGUGUUGGUGUCGAAGGUCGCGUCGACGACCCCGGGCGCCGCCGCGCCCGCGCCUCCGACGCCGCCAGUGCCGUUCACGGCCGGCCCCGGCGCCUCGGAGGAGUCCCGGCGGUCCAUGUGCCACCAGCUCUCGCGCACGAAUGCUCGUUCCUUCCUGCCGUGCUCUGUCCGCGGCAGUAACUGCUAACUAGUCGCGAUGCACGUUUCGGGAGUGUUGCGCGGCGAGUGUGCUUGUAUAAAGGGGGCGAUCCGUUCCGUUCCGUUCCUCUCGGUGUUGUCGAAGGGCUUCAAGGGAUAGGCACUCGACCGACGUGUGGUGCCGCCCGCUCGCUUUUUGGUUGCUUUGUAGGCAAAGCUAGCUAGCAGGAGGACUGGAAGAUGAAGUAGAGAAUACUAUACCUUCCUUGCGUUGCGUGCUUAGGCAGGCGGACAAUGCAAUGCAAGCCCCGAAGAUUUGGAAGCUACCUAGCUCGCUAGUCGGCUCUGGUGCAUUUUGGAGCGGUGGAAAGGGCGUCUCGCGACCGUCGACGGCCGUCGGGUCUCCGUGAGCAGUUAGUUGGUCACUUGCCUGGUCGGACUCGGAGCGCAAAAGCGCACGCCUUGGCCUGCGGUGUUUAGCGAGCUGCCCGCGUCGCGUUGGCUGGGUACGCGGGGAUUUUUUUUAUUUAAUUGGCCGCGCCCGCUCGUGGCACACUGGCGACGGCACGAGACGUUCUUUCAGGGAUUCCUCCGAUCGGAGUGUGUCACCGAGCUCGCUUUUUAAAGCCUUUGGAGCGUUUGUUACUGG
Long non-coding RNA from Zea mays, 2217 nucleotides. RefSeq lists it as uncharacterized. Lineage: Eukaryota; Viridiplantae; Streptophyta; Magnoliopsida; Poales; Poaceae. The transcript has a single exon. The record is from RefSeq and is marked validated.